AGUGAACGCUGGCGGUAGGCCUAACACAUGCAAGUCGAACGGCAGCACAGUAAGAGCUUGCUCUUACGGGUGGCGAGUGGCGGACGGGUGAGGAAUACAUCGGAAUCUACUUUUUCGUGGGGGAUAACGUAGGGAAACUUACGCUAAUACCGCAUACGACCUACGGGUGAAAGCAGGGGAUCUUCGGACCUUGCGCGAUUGAAUGAGCCGAUGUCGGAUUAGCUAGUUGGCGGGGUAAAGGCCCACCAAGGCGACGAUCCGUAGCUGGUCUGAGAGGAUGAUCAGCCACACUGGAACUGAGACACGGUCCAUACUCCUACGGGAGGCAGCAGUGGGGAAUAUUGGACAAUGGGCGCAAGCCUGAUCCAGCCAUACCGCGUGGGUGAAGAGGGCCUUCGGUUUGUAAAGCCCUUUUGUUGGGAAAGAAAAGCAGCAGGUUAAUACCCCGCUGUUCUGACGGUACCCAAAGAAUAAGCACCGGCUAACUUCGUG
Molecule: ribosomal RNA, 492 nt
Filed under: uncultured bacterium
Lineage: Bacteria
Description: partial 16S ribosomal RNA
Rfam family: Bacterial small subunit ribosomal RNA
Source: RNAcentral